GCAGCUGCAGCCUCUCAGCUUUGCAAAGAGAAGCUUGGAGUUCUCCAUCGCCCCACUCAGCUUUGAGGAGCUGAUGUUGCAUACAGCUAUCCCAAAGUGUGUGGGCGGCCAGCACCUUGGCACCUCCAGCUUACCAAGCAAAUGAUAACACCCAGCCUUGUACUCCUGCAAUCAAAGCAGCCCUGGAGCUGUGAACUCCCCCAGACUUUUUUCUUAGCUCCUGAGAGCCCACCAACACAGCUGGGAGCGCACCUCCCUGCCAGGGAGCAAUCACUGUGACUAGCUGCAGCUGUCAUGGAAGAGCCGCCAUUAGAGGAGAAGCCCAGCUGCGAGGAGGAGGCCUGCUGCAGCCUUUCUUUAAAAGAGCAAUCUUUUGGGACAGGAGAGGUAGUUUCAGGAGCUGUACUCCAGAGAGCCCGAUCAAAGAGUUUGGUGAUGGGUGAGCAGAUUGGGCCUCCCUCCAGACCUUCUUCUCCUAACCCUCAAGAACGUGUGGUGAAGUGCGGCUGGCUGAAGAAACAGAGGAGCAUUAUGAAGAACUGGCAGCAGCGUUGGUUUGUGCUGCGUGGAGACCAACUCUUCUAUUAUAAGGAUGAAGAGGAAACUAAACCUCAGGGUCUCAUUCUGCUGCAAGGCAAUCAAGUGAAUGAGCUGCCACCUAAUCCUGAUGAGCCUGGAAAACAUCUAUUUGAAAUUGCCCCAGGUGGUGCUGGAGACCGGGAAAAGAUGCCUGUCAAUCAUGAAGCUUUCCUGCUUAUGGCUAAUUCCCAGAAUGAAAUGGAAGAUUGGGUGAAAGCCAUCCGACGGGUUAUAUGGGCUCCUUUUGGUGGAGGUAUUGCAAAUAGCUCACAUGCACAUAAAUUAAAACAUUUGCCUCAAGGGAUCUUUGGACAGCGAUUGGAGGACACUGUGCAGUACGAGAGGAAGUAUGGCCAGCGGUUAGCCCCACUGCUGGUGGAACAGUGUGUGGAUUUUAUUCGGGAGCGAGGUCUUACAGAGGAGGGACUCUUUCGGAUGCCUGGUCAAGCCAACCUUGUCAAAGAUUUGCAGGAUUCUUUUGACUGUGGAGAGAAGCCGCUCUUUGACAGCAACACGGAUGUUCACACUGUGGCGUCCCUCCUGAAGCUUUACCUCCGAGAGCUGCCAGAGCCUGUCAUCCCCUUUGCCAAAUACGAAGACUUUCUUUCUUGUGGACAGCUACUCUCAAAAGAUGAGGGAGAGGGUACUCAGGAACUGGUUAAACAGGUGAAGAAUUUGCCCCAAGCCAACUACAACCUCUUGAAGUACAUAUGCAAGGGGGGCUUUUUAAGGUUCCUUGAUGAAGUUCAGGCUCACUCCAGCGUUAACAAGAUGAGUGUUCAGAACCUAGCUACAGUAUUUGGACCAAAUAUAUUACGACCCAAAAUGGAAGAUCCAGUGACCAUGAUGGAAGGCACCUCACUGGUUCAGCACCUGAUGACGGUGCUGAUAAGUGAACAGGGGAGAAUCUUUGCUGUCCCUCAGGCAGAUGUGCCAGGGAGCCAACUGGAAAUUAGACCCGUGCGUCCACGCAACACCGUGGAGUGGAUCUCUGAGGAGGAUGGAGAGGACAGCAGGUCAGAAAGCAAUGUUCCCAGCCCUGCUGAUCUGCCUUCUGGCAAUGCUGUGUCACUGGAGGCCACCCCUGGACCUGUAUUGAAAAACACCCCUCCGGAGCACAGCAGCAAGUUGGCUCAGCCUGCCACCAGUCCCAGCAAAAGAGUGCAGACGCUGCCUCCAUGGAAAUACUCCUUCCGCCAACAGGGAGCACGGUCUGGGAGUCCAAAGUUGGGCAGCUCAUCCCUAGACAUCCCCAAUCUCUCCUCGAGUGGAAACUGGCUAAUGAAUGGACUGUACUCUCUCCGAGGCCACCGCCGGACAGCCUCUGGGGAACGAGUUAAAGACUCUUGUUCUUCUCAAAGACUUUCUACUUAUGACAAUGUCCCUUCGUCCAGCCUCUCCCUCAGCACACACAGUAUGGGCAGCACCACUUGGUCUACAUCGUCGUGUGAGAUCUCCGUGGUGGACUCAGUCAGCAGCUGCCCAGCCUGUCGGGCCAGUGACUCCUCGGCUUUAAGCUCUCUCCAAACUGAGUGGAUGACUCAGGGCUCACUGUCUCAGAGUGAGGUCAAGACUGCAGAUCUGGAGAACAGCAUCGACAGGUUAGAAGCCUGCAGCAGCAGCAGUGAGCAGAGCAACCUAGCUCCAGCUUCCAGAGACUCUGUCAGAUGCUCUAGGGCCUUACAGAGCUUGGUGGUAGAGCUAAAGACAGAACUGAGCAAACAGAGGACUGAGUACGAGACCAGUAUCAAAAGAAUUGAAGAAGCAAGUGCAGACCUGAGGAAGCAAGUGGUUAGGCUAGAAGAAGAACUGGACCAAGAACGAAAGAAAUACACAAUGCUGGAGAUAAAACUGAGGAAUUCUGAACGUGCUCGGGAAGAUGCAGAGAAGAGGAAUCACCUCCUGCAGAAGGAAAUGGAAGAGUUUUUUUCAACAUUAGGAUGUUUAACUGGUGGGAGUCAAAGUGCUAAAGUCCCCAAAUAGAACAACCUGAUGUACAUCACAGAAAACUCUAUUUCUGGCAAAACCAGUGAAAAUGCACAUUUUGUUAUGUUAUACUCAUGUAUCAUGAGUAAUUCUGCAGUGAUUGUGCUCUCAGCAACAUGUGCUCUGUUGUCUUUUCAUGUUCUGUAGUAUUUGGGCCAGCUGGGAAAAGACUGCUAAACGUAAUGCUCUAACAUUUAGAUUUUCAGGAACAAGAAAGGACAUACUUCCUAUCCACAGGUCAAAAGGUUCUGGUCUCCAUUGCUGUACUUGUUCCAUCUUUGGAUUUCCUGCACCAUCCUUUUGCUGGUUCAAGGACAAUGGAAAGGUAACUUAUUUUUACUUUGAGCCAAAAAUCGAGCAGCAUUAGCUACAAGAAAAAAGAAAUCUCAUAUGAGUUGAUAUGUAGUGAUCAGACAUCAAGGUAAGAAAAGGAAAAUUCUUAUUAUAAUCAAAACACAUCCAACUGAGGUGGGUAUUUUAACUUGAAUAGCAAAACUAUUGUAAGAGAAAUUAAUGCAGUUAGUGAUGGAGAAAGGAAAGGGUGGGAUCUACCUUUAACUGUCACAGGAGAACAGCAGUUGAUUUUUUUGGUUGCAAGUAAGUUUAUGGGGAUAUGAGAGAAUAGAAGGAGAACUGCAAACAAUCUAGUAGCCUAAGUUCACUACAUCUACAAAAAGAACACACAUUAUUAGAAUGAAGUUGUAAUUCCAGUAAUUACUUGUCAGGGCUCACUUCCCUUCAAGGAACUGACUGACUGGGGAAGUUCUGCAUAACAUUUGGAGUGCCCCCAGUCAUACAGAACCUGCACACAGAACACUAUUUCACCAGAUCCAUCUUGAGGAAAUUUUUGACAGCUGAUGCAGCUUGGGUGUCUCAAAGGAGAAUGAUUUUAACAGAAAAGUCCCAUGACCACAUGAACUGACUAGGAACUGAUAUAGAGACUGCAGUGAAGGUGCUUGCUUCAUUUAACUAUUUAAAAAGAAAAAUGACCUUGCUUUGUUUUUCUUGCUAGAAAAGAAUAUAACUCAUUAUCUGGCAGUAACCUUGGAAUGGGCUUUUUGCAGUACGAGCACACUGCGCACCUUCUUUCACUGCUCAUGUUCUCCUUAUCUCACGGAUGGCUGAACAGAAGUUAAUUUGUUUCUGCCUCACUAUAGGGAUCCUCCUUCCCACAGAAAUGUAAGCCACUUAAAGUGAGCAAAAAGAAACAUAUUAGCCUCAUAUUUCCUGGUUACAGCAAGUCAAGCAAAGCAGUGAAAUAUAACUAACCUGUUUGGGUAUUUUUGAACAGUUUCCAAGCACGUCCAACUGCACUGGAUUCUUAACAACCCCUGUGGUGAAGCAGUGUGGCACAAUCCUGACUGUUCAGCAGGAGCAGCCUGCCACCUGCAGGCAGCAGCAUCAGCCUUAACUGCCCCUCCUUGUAAUACUAACGAGCAUCACCACAGAUCAUAUCCUUCCAGUGUAUUACUACUGGUCACAGCUCCUCACCAGCUUACAGGGUCACAACUGAGCCUGCAAGGAAGACAGUGGCCUGUUUAAAACAAUUAAGAUGCACAAAGUGUAAGGAGCAAUUCCUGUAACAAUGAGUCUCAGCUGGAACAUCAUAGUGGCUUUAGGUAGAGUGAAGUCUAAUAACAGUCCUCAAAAAUAAACCUUGGUGUCAAAGUAUAGCCUGAACUAGGCUGUAAAUAACUGCAAUUAAAAUACCAGGCUGGUAAAAGUGACAGUGUGUACUACCAGAGGCAUUCAAUCCAAAGUAGCAUCAAUAAGGCUAUUUUUGUACCUUCUUACCCCAGCACAGGUACUUUUCAUUAUAUCCAACAUCCUGACAGCCUACGUCCCUUAAACAAUUCAUACUGCAUUACUUCCUGUAUGUUUCAAGUACAGACUACUCUCUUUAAUUCCAGGACGCUACAAUACAAACUGAGCCAUGCUGAUUGAGCGCCUAAAAAAUACGCAAAGCAAGGAGAACUAAACCAGAAUGCUCACUAGCUCUCAUAGAAAUCAAAUGAGUCAAUUCUCAAUAUUCUUUAAGUAAGUACUGAGAAUACCAGACAACUAAUAUCUACAGCCAAAGUGAGGAACAAACUCACCCAUCCCAAGUCUUCAGCUCCAAGACAGGAUCACCUAUUAGCUGUGUUGCACACUACGUGGUCUAGCAGUCAGAAUAAAUUUGAUUCUUGUCAGUUUCGCAGAGCAAACUGUAUCUGCUCACAGCAAUUAAUGGAACUAACAUUCAGUUGACUGUUGUGCUCCAGAAAUAUGUAUUCCUCUUCUUCAGAAGUAAUAGAUCUCAGGUCAUUUUGAAGAUGAUCCACUGCAGUACAGGCUGCAAGAAAUUACAUUCUACCCUGUUCUUGCUAAAAUAUACCUCGGCAGAAAGCAGACUCCAAAGCAUGGUAAGAGACACAUAAUGUUCAUUUCCUCUCGUGAGCUAUUUUGCAAGAAAUGAGGAUACUCUCAUGCUGUUGGACGUAACCCCAUGGAUCACCAUCUCCUUUUUUGAGGAGGAUAAUACUAUCUUUAGUGACAGCCGCACACUCUUUUUCCCACCACUUCAUCUGCCUAUCUCACAGAUCUAAGCACACUCCUUAUUUUACAGGCAUUUAGCUUCUUCCAGCAACCUCCCUUCCCCCCAGUUAAACUGAAGCCUUAACAGCGGUUUACAGGUUUGCUAGUCCUAAUAAGACACAGAAUCAGGUAGCAUUCUAGCUUGGAACAUUGCUUCCAACGUUAUGCAGGCAAAAAAGAAACAAAGAAAAAAAAAUUCAGUGAAAGAAACUCAACAUAAGCGCAUACUUGAAAAAAUAAAUCCAAAGCCAAAUAUUCGAGAAUAAUAAAGAAAUUCCAUAGGUCUCCAUGGUAUUUCUAAUAUGAAAAGGAAAAGUAGUAAUGCUAACUUACUGAAUGAUCCACAUUUGCCAAAGAGGUCUAUACAGGCUGGCAGCAGUAUGCAGUUUCAGCUUUAGGUUUAUGAGCCAGAACUACUGCCCAAAAUGAUAAAAAAUGAAGUUAAUACAGCUAAAUCCCUGACAGAGCUAAGACUGUCUCAGGCCUUACUCUAUAUUCAUGUGUUACUUAGAACCAGCCCCACUUUAUGCUAACAUAGGCAAAUAAAAAAGAACAUCUCUGAGCCUCACCGCUUUCCUAGAAGAACACCUCCUGAAGAGCUGCUCCAGAGGAAGGAGGCAGGCUGUACCAUACUGCUCACAGCUGCGGCACCUUCGCCUCAAAAAUGGGACGCAGAGACAACAUGGCAGCAUGCAGCCAAACACAAUUUGAGGGCAUCCCGAGUCUUCAUUUAAAGGAACUCACAGAGCCUGCUGGAAAUGAAGGUAAUUAAGUAAGUACUGGUAGUGAUACCAGUGCAGGAAGUGGUCCUGUCACCCAAAUUUGCUCUCCAGUAAGAGCCCUUCAAAAAUCAGGUAUCUUAAAGCUUCUCUGGCAAUCAGCUCUGAGGUUUUUUUUCCUAAAGGCCCAGGCCCUGUGCCCUCACACACUGGCAGGGCCGUAGCUUACCUCUUUCUAGCAUACAGGAAGCUUCAUUACCAGGAGGGCAGGCAGACUGCAGUUGGCAGCAAAGAAGCAAGAAUGGAAGAAAUACAGCAUUUUUUGCCUACACGUGAGCUCAGACACAAAAAAGAACAUAAAUACCAUUUAAAACAUUUUUCAGGAAAGACCAACGCUAAUACAAAUCCAGCUGCAGUCUUACUGUCAAGUCCAUGCUUGUCAUUGCAGCCUAGCAAUGAAGAAACACUAAAUGCAUAGUGGUCAAGCUUUUUUUUUCCCCUUUUUUAUUUAAAAUAUCAUUAUAACCAAUUAACAUACUAGAUAACAAUGUAUACAUUCCAGUGGUGCACAUGUAAUGACCUAUGGCAUGAAUGAUUGAAAAAAACACAAUGCUUUCAGUAAUGCCCCACCAACAGCUUAUUUGGAGGGAAUAAAGGAAAAACAGGAAAGGUAUCAAAUGUAGGGAAGAAGAAAAAUAACUCUCCCAAUAUUUUUCAUGACGUAUCUUCCCCUUAGCAUCUCCUGGGACAAAACAAAAUUAAGAAUAUACUUUAAAAGGGGCAGAAGGGAUGAUCACAAUCAUUAAGGUGGUUUUUUUCCUUUCUCAACUUUAGUAAUAAAAGUUAAAGAACUCUCAAAAAUAGACUAGAUAUUGGGCCUACAAAAGUAAUUCAUCUGUAUGCAAAGCUUACCAAGAAUUAUUCCUUUUGUAAAAUGUAAAGGAUGAGCUGACAUUACUAGUAAGCUAUUUUUACCUACAAAACCAGACUACAAUAAUAAAAUCACCAAUUUACAACUAACACAAUAUUCUAGAUGUACAUUAUUGUACACAAGCUAUAUAUUACACAUGAACAUCUUACGUGAAAUAUAUAAGAAACAUAACUACUGAUAUUGUCUCAACAUUGGCCCAAAGGUUCAUUUUUCUAAAGGAAGUGUAUUUCUCUAUUUCACAUUCAGUGUAGUUCCAAUAGCAAGGGUUAGCUUUCCUUACUUAGAAACGUAGAUGGUUUGUGUGAGGUAGAUCAAGAAAACCUUGCUUAAAAUUUUAACGGCAAAAGUGGAAACAAUAUUAUCUGAUUUAUAACACAUCUAUAGAGAAGAGAGAUCUGCGUUAGGGAGUAAAAGAGAUCAACCAAAAUAUCACUUCUUUAAUCCAGUGCCCAUAACUAAAGAUGAACAAAACACUUUGAAAAUUUAGGUAGGCAGUAGAGUCUCAUCACAGAUUCCCAUUAAAACUCUUUCUAAUCCUAUGCAGACUGCUCUCUUUCAGCUCCAGUCCUCCAGCUACAUCCGGACAGACGAACCAAAAAUUUAACAAGCAAAUGAAAUACAACAAUGUGAACAAGCUGCUGCUAACAGCAAAUACUGGACUCCUGGUUGGUCAGGAACUAUGUGCCUGUAGUAGCUCUUUGAUGAUCUUUAUGCAGUGUUGAGAUUAAUGCCAUAUGUAUUAAUGCUGAAGCAUUAUAAAUCCAAAAUGUCAGUCAAGGUGCUGAGUUUUUGCUUUCUAACAGAAUAGCUUUUACGUUCAGAGAAGCAAUUUUCUGUAAUGCAAACAUUCUGCUUCUACACUGAAACAGCAGAGGGUGCUAUUGCCAUAACCGUCUCAUUUCCAGCUCACUACCUCCUCUUAAAUUCACACACACAUGAUUCUGCACGUGCGUGGGGCAGGAAGGCUUACCAGUUUUAUGCUAACAUUAUCUUUGUAUCUAGCUGGAAUUCUCACCCAGAAAGAUACUACUAUACGUACAGUAUAGUCAGGUUUUUCUAAACCAAAUUGUUGAACUUCUAAACCAGCCCCCGCCCCCCCCCCCAUCCCUCUCCCCCCACUAACACACACCAAUCCCAGUUCUGACCCCAUCUACCUUCAACAAAAGACAUCACAGAUCAAAAGACAUCACAGAGCAGAGAUACAACACACAGUAACAGUAUUAAUCUUUCCUCCCGUACCUUUCCAUCUUUUUAAAAACCCUGAGGAACCUACUUCUGCAAAGGGAGAGGAGCUUUUCUCUUCUUGAAGCCUGCCACAGCUCUGGCCACAGGAGGUGGGAAUUAAUGUUAUUACUGCCCAAUUUUUAAGCUCACCUGACAUGAAAUCAGACACAGCUCACUGUAAUUCAAUCCCUACCAACUCCACUGGGUUGGAACAGCCCUAGAAAUGGAACAUUGCAUGCACUUUAGUAAAGCCCGUUGUCAUUAAAAGAUUUUGAAAUUGUAUACUAAAAUAAAGCUUAUUAUUUCAGGAAUAAAUUUUUACAGUGUAUUAGAUAGCAUAUUAGCUGGCAAUAGAAUAUACAAAAACAGUUGCACUCAAUACCUUUGUUUGCUAUUUGUGGCAGUGUACAACGAUCUCUGAAAUCAUUUUGUAUUUCAACAAAUAAAAAGAGCUAAGACUUGU
This is an RNA transcript of Gallus gallus (chicken), 8476 nucleotides long. It is a transcript of the gene named Rho GTPase activating protein 22, with no coding region annotated. Lineage: Eukaryota; Metazoa; Chordata; Aves; Galliformes; Phasianidae. The transcript has 11 exons. The record is from RefSeq and is a predicted model, not a curated record.